CACACACACACACACGCACACACACACACACACACACACACACACACACACACACACACACACACACACACACACUAUUCAUUCUGAACAGUGUGUUCCCAGUGCGGCUGUAGGAGCUCCUCUCCGUCUGUAAACUCCUAUAAAUAUAAUCUUUCUGGGCGACUUCAAUAAGAACUGAUUGAUUAAUCUUCUCGUGAAGGAAAUCUGAACCUCACUCAGUUAAUUAGUGAGUUACACAGGUCAGUCUCAGCUUGUCUGGAUACCCGUCUCACACACUAAUAGAUUUUUAAAAGCAGUAUUGUCUCGUCAGAGCUCCGUCUCUUCCGGGAGAAUAACACCUGUCGAGGAACAAGAUGCCAUUAAUGAUCUAAAGUCGGUGUCGUUUGCUGUUUGCAGGUGUAGGAAACAGAGAUCCGCCUCCAUCACGUCACAGAUUAAACAUUCACAGUGGAAAACAGCUCAGCUCUGACUCAUUCAUCACGUCUCCAGCAGACUGUUAUGUCAGAGACUGGUGAGGGUUAAAGCGGCGAGCGGGGCGCUGACGUGGGAUUGGUCACAGCUGCAGACACCUGUCAGGGAUCAGGUGACCGACAGUGUUCGUUUCCUCCCCGGUGUCUCAUCUAUCGAGGCCGGAUGAACAGAGUGUCACUGAGUGUGGGAAAAAGGGGCUCGGCUGUGGAAGGGGCGUGGUCCACGUGUUUGACCUAUUGUGUCACCACACAGGUAGAUUUGGGUUUCACCUGCCGCCUCAGUGUGUGUGCUCUUUAUAUUUUAUGGUUUGAGUGUGGUCUGCCCUUGUUGUGGACACAUCAAGUUCCUCUGGAGAGAAAGGCCUGGAGGAUGAUGGGUGAACAGUGUGAUGGGAUCAGGCAUUACAGUCUGUACCUGUACCUCUUUGUUUGCUCUAUAAGCUGCCUGUAACUCAAACACCUCACCUGUUUAAAGGAAGACACACCUUCCACAGGUGAUUCCAGUUUCCCAAAGAUAUCGUCUUGCCAUUUUAAAGGCAGCAUAACCUGUGAAAUCAGAAGACGUCAAUAUCAUAUAAUUGAUAUAUUAAUAUCAAUUAUAUAUUAAUAUCAAUAUAUAUAAUAACUUCAUGUCGAACAAGUAGCUCAGAGAUGUUUUUGGGCCCAAAACCAUUUGAUGCUUACUACUAUUAACUAUCCCCAUUCAGUACAAGCUGCUCUAUCAUUCCCAGCUCUUCUACACUGAUAAUCAGCCAGUGAGGAUUAAAACUUUUUACUUUAGCCUCAGUCUUUUUUGCCAAGUUCACAAUUUCAGGGAAAACCUGGAAAUUGACUGACGACUUUUCCAGUCAUGGAAAAUGAGAGAAAAAGUCUAAUGUACUUGGAAAAUCUUUUUUUCACUUUUCAUUUUAGUUUUCUCCGAUUUAAAACCCUGAUUGAGAAGCGAGGGAGCAGCGCUGCGGGCAACAACAUAGUUUAGCCUUUAUUUACCUACGUGCUAAUUACUCGCUAAUGGCACUUUUUUACUUAGCAUCUUUAUUAGUGUUACUUCAAACCCAAUGCUGCGUUGUUCAGGUAAAACAGACCAUAAUAUGACAUGACAAGUUGUGGUUUACCUGGUUAAUGACGUCACUUCCUGUUACUAGUAAAAGGGUUAAAGUGAGAUAAAAUGAUGGACACCAGUGGCAGGAAAUAAUCUGAGCUAAUCAACUUUGAAUUGAACAUUUAGCUAAAGUUCAGUCGAGAUUUGUCAGGAGGGAAAAUUAUAGGUUCCUAUAAUACACGUCAAUAUGAUAGAUUAAUAAUGUUUUAUUUUUGUAAGUUGUUGCGAUCAAUUUUUCAUAAUUCCAUAAUUAAUGAAGCAUGUAAGAGAUGAUUUUAUAGAAAAGUAGAGCCAGUAAGGGAAACCUUGGUGUAUGGUGUGAUUCCUUUGAUGAGUUGUUCCCAACCUAAUGACUUGCAAAACAAUUAAAGAGCCAAUGUUUGAUCGAUAUCAUUAAAAUAAAAACGGCUCUACGGAGGCAUUAUCUGGUCGGAUGUGGGCCGCCAACAUUUUUGAGCUUUUGAAGUGGGUCAUGAGUUGGAAAAGGUUGGGAACCACUGAUCUAGAUCAACACUGGAAAUGUCCUGGAAAAGAGCGGGAACUCUGAUCAUGUAUCAAAAGGAGCAGUUAGAGACCACAGCUUCGAGCCACCAUUAUAACUGUUCAUUAGUGAGGCGAUGGAAAGCUCAACAGGUGUCCGACUAAGAGGGGCGGGGCUUAGCAAAGGGUCACCCAACUGCACCUGUGGCUAAAUAACUGGGGCCACAGGAGACAUAUUAAACCCAUGAUCUGUAGACUGUCCAAGCUUCCAGUGUUAAAGUCCAGGCUGCAAACGUCAAGGACAAACGUUUCCUCUUUCAUCACGACUUGACACUAAAACUGGAAAUCUGAACGUGUCACGAUGGAUCUGUGUCGUCUCAGCACAACUGAUGCGCUGCAGCAGACAGAAAGGAGAAAGAUGAAAAGGAUUUUAAAGCUCUUUAGUUCAGUAAAUGAAUCUUCUCAUGACGUGAGGACAAGAAAGGACGGCCACAGGGACACAGCGGGAGCAGGAGGAAGAAGCUUUUCUGUGCUGAUGAUGAGACGUCUCAGUCGGCGUCUGCAGGGCUUUUUAAAACCAACACAUUUCAUUUAUUGGUUAAUUCUGCUGCUGCGUUAGUAAAAUAACGUCUUUAUGAUUUUAAAGACAGUUAAUUGGCUCUAGUUUUGUCUUUAACAUCAGUUGUUUAUUCCGUAAAGACCUCACCUGAGCUUUUGAAUGUUUGAGCCCAUUUACUAAAUAUGUUUAGGCUUUAUUACAUUUUACAUUUUACUGGGUAUAUCUUUAUAUGUUUGCUGCUUUUCAUUUAAUCUAAGAAUCUUAAAUCUCUGCAAGUGAAUUUUUAAAAUUUACUGUUGGUGUCUUGUUUCCUACUAAUUUUCAACGCUGGUUUCUUUUUACCAUAAUAUUUCCCUGAACUGAAGCAUGACGGCUCUCAGGCAAUGGACUGAAAUACAUCAACAAUUAAUAUGAAUAAUAAUAAUAAAUUUUAUUUAUAAAGCAUUUCUCGUACGAGAGAUGCAGCUCAAAGUGCUUCACAAUAAAAAAAGGGCGGAUUGAAGGAUUGAAUGGACAAUAGAAAGACAGUAGAUGAAAAUAAAACCAGAAACUGUAGGUUUCCUGGUGUCAGUUAAAAAUAUUCAUGGAGCAUCUCUUGCAGCUCUUGGCAGGUUUUUCCAUUAUUGGAUGUUUCGGAUUUUACACAGACAUGAUCCCACCUGCAGAACUGAUGACAUCAGCCUCAGCUAACUACUAUCCUACAUGUUAGCAUUGUCAUUGAGUUUAACACUUUGUCCCAGAAUCUCAGUCCAAACAUCUGGACUUCACCACACCUGCAGACUGAAUACAGACUUCGAACAUGAUGUGUAACAAUGACAGUGCAAAUGAAUCGAUAAUAAUCUGCAGCAUAUUUAUUUUUGAAGACAUUUUUUUGUUGUUGACGUCUACUGCAGAGUCAUGUGACCCAGGUGUGAAUGCUGACACAAGCCUGAUGUUCAGAUUAAGACAAAGACCAAGAGCCUUUAAAAUAAAGAAGAAAAUGUGAAUCGUGACACAAAAAUCCCCAAAUGGUGAAACUCUGAAAAUCACAAAGUGUUGAUUCUUCAUGUUUCGUCACACACACACACACACACACACACACACACACACACACACACACACACACACACACGCAGACAGACAUCUGGCAUCAGUUUGUUAGCCGUCGUGUUUGCUUGCAGCCGGUGAAAAAUGGCUGUUUGUGUGCGCCGCCUCGCCGCAGUGUGUAGAUCAGUGUUGUACGUACACACUGAUCAACACACUGACUGUGGCCCCGGGAACAUUUCACUGUUUGAAACCGUUUGAUUACAGCAGCAUUUCCAGAACCACCCACGUUUAAUGCUCUUUAGUCAUGAUUGAUUCAUAACGUACACAUGUUCAUCAGCUGUACAAACAACUCUGCGCUUCAUGUGUUCAGUGUCUGUCGGGAUAAAGAUGGAGGCCGUGUGGUGAGCACAGUGUGUAAGUGCAUGUGAGAGAAUAUAUUUAGAUUCAACUGGUUAUAUUUUCCCUCUUUUCUUCUGUAACCAUCACUAAUGAAAACAUCAUGUAACAUUAUGAACCAUCAGGUGACUGACAGGAGGAGAAGUUCUGAGUCCAGCUGGACCUUUAGCAGCUCGCAGGGUUCUCCUCUCAGUAAAACACUCCAGUAUCAGCUCCAUGGUCAGCCUGGGAUAGAAAUUCAGUCUCGGACUGAUCCACUGGGUCACUGAAGGAGCCAGUUUAAACACUGAUGGAGCCGGUAAACAUGUAAAAAACUUUAUGGAUGUUUUGACGUUUUUGACUUUGUAUUAUUGUUUAAAAAAGCAAUAAAAGACGAUAAAACAUCACAUAAAAGCAAGUCUAUAAAAAUGACUUUAAGAAGUGAUUUAUAAGAAGUCACUGAUUCUGCCUUAAAAGACGAAGUGUCCUGAUGGCAGAACCACAGUCACCUUUAGAUUUAACCCUUGACCUUGGGACGGCCAGAGGGGCCGGGGACCUAAGGGUGCGAGCCGGCUCACAUGGGGUUAACAUUUCUGUUACGUAGCUCAGGACUCAACCUCUAAUAUUUAAUCUCCUGGACGUAGACGUCUUGAGUAAAUCAUCAGUUUGUCGUUCAGUCUGUUUGACAGUUUAUUGCAGUUUGUAGUUUGUACUGGUUUGAUUUCAGAGUCGGCAGCAACAGAUCUCACCUGUAAUCCGAGUGUUUGUGUGACAGUUGUCAAAGUUUCCUCAGUGUUGGUGUGUUUGACUUUGCGAACCCUCGCGGUCGUAGCUUCACCUCAGCUCUCAGCUGUGUGCAGGUUAUUUGAUCUGGAGGACGGACGGACGGACGGACGGACGGACGGACGGAUGGACGGAUGGACGGACGAGUCAGCGCUGAUUCAUGGACACAAACACCUCACAACAGUUCGACUGUCAGCUCAGUCUGAUCCUUCACUCCCAACAACAACCACCUCCUCAUAUUUUCUACUUAUACUCAGAUACAAUGUACAGCAGGGAGGAAAUCAUACGGCUCCACAAACAACAUAGAAAUAGAAAAAUCAGAUCUGCUGUUGAAUUCAUUGAUUUCAUUUUCUCUCAGAAACAAACACAUUUUGUUUUUGUUUGUUUGUGUUUCUGUCUCUGUGCGGCAGGUAAACAAGCUGCUGUAAACAACAUGUUUUAGGACGUCAUCAUCAUGUGCGUCUCUUCCUCUUCCUCCUCCUCCUCCUCCCAGCAGACAGCAGCUCUGUGGGGUUUCCUGCGUCUGGAGGCAGCAGGUGAGGAGACUCUGCUCGGUAACCCGUCGUCAUGGAAAACACACCUGCGCCGUGAUUGGUGGAGAGCUGCAGCUGGAGGGUUGACCGGGGGAGCCUUUUAUACAAUUACUAUCAUGGUGGCAGGUUGUUAAACAGGAAGUUCCAGACGUCCCUCUGUCCAGCAACGCUUCCAUGUUGGAUCCCGAGGUGUUUCCCGACCAGGUGGGACAUGUAAUCCCUCCAGCAAGUUCUGGGUGAGACAUGAAGAAGAACCAGCAGCUGCAGUUCCUCUAACGACCACUAGAGUCUGGCUCCAACAGUGAGUCAGUCCCCAUAGACUCCCAUGUUAAAAUGUCCAACUUUACAGCAGAAAUAAACAUGUUUACAGCCUGGUACAAAAACUGUUUUGGUCUCUA
Long non-coding RNA from Seriola aureovittata, 5726 nucleotides. RefSeq lists it as uncharacterized. The record is from RefSeq and is a predicted model, not a curated record. The transcript is spliced from 4 exons. NCBI's taxonomy places the organism in Eukaryota, Metazoa, Chordata, Actinopteri, Carangiformes, Carangidae.